GCUCUCGGGUGACGAGUGGCGGACGGGUGAGUAAUGUCUGGGAAACUGCCUGAUGGAGGGGGAUAACUACUGGAAACGGUAGCUAAUACCGCAUAACGUCGCAAGACCAAAGAGGGGGACCUUCGGGCCUCUUGCCAUCAGAUGUGCCCAGAUGGGAUUAGCUAGUAGGUGGGGUAACGGCUCACCUAGGCGACGAUCCCUAGCUGGUCUGAGAGGAUGACCAGCCACACUGGAACUGAGACACGGUCCAGACUCCUACGGGAGGCAGCAGUGGGGAAUAUUGCACAAUGGGCGCAAGCCUGAUGCAGCCAUGCCGCGUGUAUGAAGAAGGCCUUCGGGUUGUAAAGUACUUUCAGCGGGGAGGAAGGUGUUGCGGUUAAUAACCGCAGCAAUUGACGUUACCCGCAGAAGAAGCACCGGCUAACUCCGUGCCAGCAGCCGCGGUAAUACGGAGGGUGCAAGCGUUAAUCGGAAUUACUGGGCGUAAAGCGCACGCAGGCGGUCUGUCAAGUCGGAUGUGAAAUCCCCGGGCUCAACCUGGGAACUGCAUUCGAAACUGGCAGGCUAGAGUCUUGUAGAGGGGGGUAGAAUUCCAGGUGUAGCGGUGAAAUGCGUAGAGAUCUGGAGGAAUACCGGU
This 637-nucleotide ribosomal RNA is filed under the name uncultured Enterobacterales bacterium. RNAcentral describes it as "bacterial SSU rRNA". It matches the Rfam family "Bacterial small subunit ribosomal RNA", at positions 80 to 713 of the family's 1533-position model. The record is from RNAcentral. Lineage: Bacteria; Pseudomonadati; Pseudomonadota; Gammaproteobacteria; Enterobacterales.